Molecule: ribosomal RNA, 585 nt
Filed under: uncultured bacterium
Lineage: Bacteria
Description: bacterial SSU rRNA
Rfam family: Bacterial small subunit ribosomal RNA
Source: RNAcentral
CCUACGGGAGGCAGCAGUGGGGAAUCUUGCACAAUGGAGGAAACUCUGAUGCAGCGAUGCCGCGCGAGCGAAGAAGGCCUUUGGGUUGUAAAGCUCUUUUGUAGGGGAAGAUAAUGACUGUACCCUAAGAAUAAGGUCCGGCUAACUUCGUGCCAGCAGCCGUGGUAAUACGAAGGGACCUAGCGUAGUUCGGAAUUACUGGGCGUAAAGCGCGCGUAGGCCGUUGAGUUAGUUAAUUGUGAAAUCCCAAAGCUUAACUUUGGAACUGCAAUUAAAACUGCUCGACUAGAGUUUGAUAGAGGAAAGCGGAAUACAUAGUGUAGAGGUGAAAUUCGUAGAUAUUAUGUAGAACACCAGUUGCGAAGGCGGCUUUCUGGAUCAACACUGACGCUGAGGCGCGAAAGUAUGGGUAGCAAAGAGGAUUAGAUACCCUCGUAGUCCAUACCAUAAACGAUGAUUGCUAGAUGUUGGAAAUUUAUUUUCAGUAUCGCAGCUAACGCAUUAAGCAAUCCGCCUGGGGAGUACGACCGCAAGGUUAAAACUCAAAGGAAUUGACGGCUGAGANGCGAGACGACACGAGGAGAG